CCUGGAAAAUCCCAUGAAUGGAGGAGCCUGGAUGGCUACAGUCCAUGGGGUCGCAAAGACUUGAGUAAUUAACUUCAAAAAAGCUAGCUUAUCUUCAGCAAGGAGGUAAUCCCUUCAACUUUGAUAGGUUUUGUUGAAAUGGGCACAGUAUAACAAAACUAUAUAUUUAAUGGAGGUCUUUUACUGACUAAAGUGAUGAGGAUAACUGGUUUACUCACUUUAUUAGUGCAAAGCUGUUACUGUUACCAAGGUCAUGGAACCAAUCCAGGCUAACAGAAUGAGCUCCACAAAUGCAGGGACUGGUACCUUUUUCUUCUUGUAUCUCUAACACCAAGUAAAGGACCUGGCCCAGAGCAGGACCUCAAUACAUGUUAACUUUUGUAUUCACUGAUAAAGUUUUCUUGUACAUGCCCACAAACUGUACUUGUAAUACCAGUUGGCAUUUUACUCCCUAGGGAUAAAGCUAGAGAGCUGGGAAAUCAGUGGGUGGCACAAACUUUAUACAUGAAGGAUAUGUUUUCAUUGUACUUUUGGUGUUGCCUUAUAAUAGUAGGAUCUUGUGGGUUGAGUUGUGUCUUCCAAAAUAAUAUGCUGAUGUCCUAUCCCUGAUACCUGUGAAUGUGACCUUAAUUGGAAUUAGGGUCUUUGCAGAUGUAAUCAAGUUAAGAUGAAGUCAUGCUGGAGUGAGGUGUGCCCUAAAUCCAAUUAUAAGUGUCUUUAUAAAGUGAGAGUUAUUUGAAGACAGGAUACUCAAGGAAGAUGGCCCUGUGACCAGGCAACAGAGAUUGGAAUGAUGUAGCUGCAAGCCAAAGAAUGCAGAAGAUUGCCACGAGCCACCAGAAUCCAGAAAGAGGCAAGGAAGGAUUCUUCUCCGAGACUUCAGAGGGAGCAUGUGCCUGAAGGAGGACAGGAAAGAGUAAUGGAUGAAGAAUUGGAAGUGGAGGAGAGAUGGAAGGAGUACCACUGGAGAGGGAGCAUGUGUGGAGGGAGUAUGACUGAACAGGUGGAGUAUUUAGAGAAAGGAAGUAACUUUGUGGCUUGUCAUGGUUAAAUUUUAUUUGGUGUUGUUACUAUUAGUAAUAUAAUGUAGUUAGCAUAAGUCUGGUUCAAAGUAGAAACCUGAUAAACAUAACAUUUUGUAUUUUCUUUUAAGUUGAUAUGAGGACUUCUUUACAUUGUGAACGUGGUUCACCUAAUUUGUCACAUUAUGCUGGUUGAUGCUGAGGACGCAGUGGUAAGAGACACCCAGGCCCUUCUCUCAUGGUGUUCAUCAUCCAGUAAGAAAACAGAUCUUGUUCCCAGAUAGUGAUGACCCAGGUUGGGCAGAACAGUAUCGGUGAGCACAGGAGGGUGAAACUGGAAAAAAACCUCACACACAUAGAGAGAACGGCACAGUGUGGUAUACACUAAUUUACCCCCUCACCAGAUUCAGAAUGUGCAAGACUUUGACACCAGAAGCACAGGUUACAAAAGAAAAACAGACAAAUUGAUCUUAUGAAAAUUUUAAAAAUGUUAUGUAUCCAAACACACUACACACAGAA
Bubalus bubalis (water buffalo) is the source of this 1541-nucleotide long non-coding RNA. RefSeq lists it as uncharacterized. NCBI's taxonomy places the organism in Eukaryota, Metazoa, Chordata, Mammalia, Artiodactyla, Bovidae. The transcript has 2 exons. The record is from RefSeq and is a predicted model, not a curated record.